This 497-nucleotide ribosomal RNA is filed under the name uncultured bacterium. RNAcentral's name for it is "partial 16S ribosomal RNA". It matches the Rfam family "Bacterial small subunit ribosomal RNA", at positions 28 to 507 of the family's 1533-position model. The record is from RNAcentral.
GAUGAACGCUGGCGGCGUGCCUAAUACAUGCAAGUCGAGCGAACGGACGAGAAGCUUGCUUCUCUGAUGUUAGCGGCGGACGGGUGAGUAACACGUGGAUAACCUACCUAUAAGACUGGGAUAACUUCGGGAAACCGGAGCUAAUACCGGAUAAUAUUUUGAACCGCAUGGUUCAAAAGUGAAAGACGGUCUUGCUGUCACUUAUAGAUGGAUCCGCGCUGCAUUAGCUAGUUGGUAAGGUAACGGCUUACCAAGGCAACGAUGCAUAGCCGACCUGAGAGGAUGAUCAGCCACACUGGAACUGAGACACACUCCAGACUCCUACGGGAGGCAGCAGUAGGGAAUCUUCCACAAUGGGCGAAAGCAUCACGGAGCAACGCCGCGUGAGUGAUGAAGGUCUUCGGAUCGUAAAACUCUGUUAUUAGGGAAGAACAUAUGUGUAAUUAACUGUGCACAUCUUGACGGUACCUAAUCAGAAAGCCACGGCUAACUACAUG